CCAGGAGAUGGCACUGGAGAACCUGUCCUGCAGAGACAAGGCAAAAAUGCCGAUUCACAAACCGGCUCUGUGCUCGUGAACACGAAAUAAUCCGGAAGGUAUCUCUCCUCCGUAGUAUUUGCUUUUAGGAAGGACUUAAGGCUUUGGCUUUUUUUUCAUUUUGUUCUCAAACAUGAUGAAGAAGAAGCUAAAAGGAAGCCAACCACAGCACCCAGUGAAUGCCAUCUGGGUUUGCCUUGUGAAGCACAUUCUAUUUUCUCAACUGUUACUUCUCGUGAAGAUUGAUGAAAAUGUCUUCAACACGAUCUAAAUGGCAUUUAUGCCUCAGGGUUCACUUCGUGCCUUUUGAUGCGUCCCUGAUCAGGCUUUGUUUUGGGAGGUGUGAUGGUAUAGGACCAUUAACCGUUACCAAAUGCAUAAGCAUCAUUCAAGUGAAGAAGUGCAAACAGAGGAAAGCUCCUGUAAUUAUAAGCAUCAGCACAGAAGGGAAGCUUCAAAAAGGACCUCGAGAGAUCAUGGAGUCCAUCCUCUGCAAGAAGGAGCAAGGAUAGCUGGAGGUCUGCCCAGCUUUCAAUGGAACAGCAGUGCAGGCUUUAUGGGAAUGCCUGAAAUGCUUUGAUGUGUUUUACACGCACUCACCCAUGCGGGAUCCUCGCCCGAGAGAAAGCAGAGGCGAGGCACAACGUGGUGUUUGGGUGUUUCAGCCUGAGAGAACAGAAAUAGUCAUUCCUGCCAAUGGACAGUGCAUCUGGGGCUUUGGCUUGUUCCAGCUGUUCUGUGGGCUUCAUCAGUUCACCAUCCAUGGGUGCCAGAGGAACUGCAGCACUCCACUGCUUUGCUCUGAGACUCCCCAGGUUUUCCCCUGGACACCCCAGAGCUUGGCAUGCCCCCUGCCCUUCCCCCUGAGACUCCUCACUGGUGUUCAUGGCUUUAAGGAAGGCACUGCAGGUGAUCCUGGCACAAUCCCAGCAAGGCUUCUCUGUUGGGAAGGAGGUGCAUUCCUGCGUGGCUGUGAUGGAAAGCUGUCUCUGCUCCCACUGCCACAGGCUCAGCCCAUCACCUUUGCACAGCUCCACACUCUGCUUCAGACAGAAAACAACCCAUAGGGACAAAUGACCUUAAUUAUGAGGACAAAGAUUAGUUAAGUGCAGAAUCUUAGUAUUAAUACAAGAAAUAAUCAAGAUAUGUUGUUGUAAUUAAAUUGAAUCUGUUCUUUCCUCCCCGAAGAUUUCCCUCUCAAUCUAAUUUAUUAUUUGGUUGGUUAAUCAGUAUUAAAGAUCCAAAGCAAUAGUGGUCCACACAUGAUAAGCAUGGCCUAGAGCCUGACUGCUAUUACAGUGGGAAGUGCUCAGGUUUCAGGCUCCAAAAAACCAGUUCUGUACUGACAAAUUGCAGUGAACACACAUGCAUGGAAGAAAUAAGAGCACAAUGAAUGUGCUCCUGCUGAAACAACAGGGACACUAAGCUGAUGUGGAAAAAUUUUCUGCUUAGAAAGGAAAAUAUGUUCUUACUUGGUGGUUCUGUGUGGUGGAAGCCUCAAAACAUAUGGGAUCAGUUUUGAACACAUUUUAAUGCUUUUUAACCUGUGAGCUUCAUACAUGAUUGGUCUUGAUAGGUAAAAGUGAGCUGUUUGUCACAACCUGCUGCUUCACAAAGACUCAUGUUAUGUGCUGACUUUGGAUUUGGGGCAGAAAGAGGGAAUUAUGUGACAAAAGGAAAAAAAAGAGGUGCCAUUGACAAGUUAUGAAUGGGAGAAAUUGGAACAUAUGCCAUAUACCACCAUAUACUACAUACUCAAGCUCUCAAAAGAAAAAAAAAAGGGAAGAAAAAGGCUGUAAAUUCCAUUCAUAAUUUUAACAGAAUUGUACUUUUUUCCCCAGAAGAAAAACAUGUUUGUACCUUUAUUUGUUUUCUUGGUUUAUUUUUAUUGU
Molecule: non-coding RNA, 1931 nt
Organism: Zonotrichia albicollis (white-throated sparrow)
Lineage: Eukaryota; Metazoa; Chordata; Aves; Passeriformes; Passerellidae
Source: RefSeq, a predicted model, not a curated record